This 519-nucleotide ribosomal RNA is filed under the name uncultured eukaryote. RNAcentral describes it as "SSU rRNA". It matches the Rfam family "Eukaryotic small subunit ribosomal RNA", at positions 1161 to 1698 of the family's 1831-position model. The record is from RNAcentral.
AGGGCACCACCAGGAGUGGAGCCUGCGGCUUAAUUUGACUCAACACGGGAAAACUCACCCGGCCCGGACACUGGAAGGAUUGACAGAUUGAGAGCUCUUUCUUGAUUCAGUGGGUGGUGGUGCAUGGCCGUUCUUAGUUGGUGGAGUGAUUUGUCUGGUUAAUUCCGAUAACGAACGAGACUCUAGCCUAUUAAAUAGAUCGUUGGCUUACAAACGCCGGCGAGACUUCUUAGAGGGACAGGCGGCGAUUCAGCCGCACGAAACAGAGCAAUAACAGGUCUGUGAUGCCCUUAGAUGUCCGGGGCCGCACGCGCGCUACACUGAAGUGAUCAGCGUGCAUUUUGAAACCUACUCUGUCAAGAGUGGGGAACCCAAUGAACCUUCUUCGUGGUUGGGAUAGGGGAUUGUAAUUAUUCCCCUUGAACGAGGAAUUCCCAGUAAGCGCGAAUCAUAAGUUUGCGCUGAUUACGUCCCUGCCCUUUGUACACACCGCCCGUCGCUACUACCGAUUGAAUGUUU